Empidonax traillii (willow flycatcher) is the source of this 359-nucleotide long non-coding RNA. RefSeq lists it as uncharacterized. The transcript has 3 exons. The record is from RefSeq and is a predicted model, not a curated record. NCBI's taxonomy places the organism in Eukaryota, Metazoa, Chordata, Aves, Passeriformes, Tyrannidae.
CAGAUCUGGGUCCCACUCCUGCCGUUGUCAUGCCCUCUUGAGGAGUAUCCAAGGAACAUUCUACAUUCCCAGACUCCAUAAAUUCCCUGGGCCCAUACCAGAGGCUGAGAUGUAUGCACUUGACUGAGACAUUCAUCUGGGAUUUGCUGAGGCCAAAAUUAAAUCAGCUGUUGCACCGAGAAGGGAGGAGGGAGCCCCAUCUGCACACGCCUCUUGCCCAAAGAGAACUUUGGGUAACUUUGGACCCAGGUGGCUGAGUCCUCCCACCAAAGCUCUGCUGUGCACGAGGAACAUUUCAGGAUAGCGCUGCAAGCACUUAAGUGUGAUUUGCUGAAUGCUGUCUAACCAAUACUUUGGAU